GAUCGCCAGGGAUGGCUUAGUGCUCGAAAGAGAACCGUAACACAGGUGCUGCAUGGCUGUCGCCAGCUCGUGUCGUGAGAUGUUGGGUUAAGUCCCGCAACGAGCGCAACCCUUGUCAUUAGUUGCUACAUUUAGUUGGGCACUCUAAUGAGACUGCCGGUGACAAACCGGAGGAAGGUGGGGAUGACGUCAAGUCCUCAUGGCCCUUAUAGGUAGGGCUACACACGUCAUACAAUGGAUGGUACAGAGGGUCGCCAACCCGCGAGGGGGAGCCAAUCCCAUAAAACCAUUCGUAGUCCGGAUCGCAGUCUGCAACUCGACUGCGUGAAGUCGGAAUCGCUAGUAAUCGCGGAUCAGAAUGUCGCGGUGAAUACGUUCCCGGGUCUUGUACACACCGCCCGUCACACCAUGGGAGCGGGUUCU
RNAcentral lists this ribosomal RNA (423 nucleotides) under uncultured bacterium. RNAcentral's name for it is "bacterial SSU rRNA". It matches the Rfam family "Bacterial small subunit ribosomal RNA", at positions 995 to 1418 of the family's 1533-position model. The record is from RNAcentral.